This is a long non-coding RNA of Osmerus eperlanus (European smelt), 883 nucleotides long. RefSeq lists it as uncharacterized. The transcript has 2 exons. The record is from RefSeq and is a predicted model, not a curated record. NCBI's taxonomy places the organism in Eukaryota, Metazoa, Chordata, Actinopteri, Osmeriformes, Osmeridae.
CCCCAAAUGGAGCGCAGAACGCCAGCCCUGCCUGCUGCAUCUGGAUGGAGGACUGGGAGCUGGACUGGACUCGUACUGCGACAGAGAUGGAAGGACAGAGAGACAGCCAUUGAGAGAGGGAAAGGGAAUAAAAGAGACAGAGACACACAAAAGAAUAAGGCCCAGAGAUGGACUGGGUGGCAGGAUGAGAAAUCAAUGAAAGCGAGGCCUUGGAUUGAAAUGCCUCGGACUGGAGGCAGAGGGAGAGCACUGCUGAGUGAACAGUGUGGAGUCAAGGGAGCGGCCAGAAGGAAACCCUGGGGCCCAAAGUGGAAGCCCCACAGUGCUUCCUCCUUGUCUAAUCUUCCUGAGCUUUGGAGUGUGACAAUGGUGUUUGUGUCCUCUGCUAUCAAACGCCAUUAUCACACCAAAUAGCUAGGGUGAGAAGAGAACCACCUGGCCAUGACUGUCUGCUGAUGUCAUUGCGUUCUUCAGAACUCACAAAACAAACAAACAGCCACCUAUAUGGAUAACAGAGUUUUUUGUUUCCAGGUAUAGCAACUUGCUGAGCAAGAAACCCUCCUUUUAGUCUGAUCAUCCGUGCACAUACUUUAUUUUAAAUGGACAGUUACAUUGAAAUCAGAUGAGUCAACUGUUACUGGGCAGAGUAGGGUGGGGAGGUCAUAGAGUUAAACACUGUAGAUGAGUGACACCUUGGCAACAACCAAGGACUCAGAUGGUGACCCAGUUCUCUGUGUGCCUAGGUGGUGUUCAUGGGUCUCUAAUGCACAAAUACUGUGAUCCUCACAGACAAAAAUACAUGACCCAUUUUGUGCCUGACAAAGCUUUAGUGUUGUGCUGUAUUGUAAAUGCAUUCAUAUAAUAAACAUUUGUAAAGAUUGAA